RNAcentral lists this ribosomal RNA (448 nucleotides) under Azospirillum brasilense. Its description in RNAcentral is "partial 23S ribosomal RNA". It matches the Rfam family "Bacterial large subunit ribosomal RNA", at positions 1 to 501 of the family's 2925-position model. The record is from RNAcentral. Lineage: Bacteria; Pseudomonadati; Pseudomonadota; Alphaproteobacteria; Rhodospirillales; Azospirillaceae.
AAGGAUCAAGCGUCUGAAGGGCAUCUGGUGGAUGCCUUGGCACUGAGAGGCGAUGAAGGACGCAGCACGUUGCGAUAAGCCAUGGGGAGCCGCGAGCAGGCUUUGAUCCGUGGAUUUCCGAAUGGGGCAACCCACCGCGCAAGCGGUAUCCCAUGCUGAAUUCAUAGGCAUGGGAGGCGAACCCGGCGAACUGAAACAUCUAAGUAGCCGGAGGAAAGGACAUCAACCGAGACUCCGCUAGUAGUGGCGAGCGAACGCGGACCAGGCCAGUCAUUCAGUCUACAUAACCGGAACCGUCUGGAAAGGCGGGCCAGAGCGGGUGAUAGCCCCGUACGGGUAAACCGGACUGAAUGCUCGAGUAGGGCGGGGCACGUGAAACCCUGUCCGAACAUGGGGGGACCACCCUCCAAGCCUAAGUACUCCUCAGUGACCGAUAGUGCACCAGUAC